Non-coding RNA from Arachis ipaensis, 587 nucleotides. NCBI's taxonomy places the organism in Eukaryota, Viridiplantae, Streptophyta, Magnoliopsida, Fabales, Fabaceae. The record is from RefSeq and is a predicted model, not a curated record.
UGUUGAUGGAACUUCGUUUGGUUCGAUCGUGUUUCAGUGAGGAACAGCUCUGGAAGCCAAUACUGCAGGUCUUUAAAGAAACCUUAACUAAUCUCUCAAUUGUGAAAGAUGAAGGGAAAUGAGGAAUUUGAUGUGAAAUGGAAAGAGAGAGGGAGCAGAGUGUCCACGACCUGUGGUGGUGUAGGAAGAGAUUUGCACGCUACUCUAUUCCAGAGGCUUUCGAUUGCUUUUCCUUCGGAAUAUCCUUCUUCGAUUCCUCAGUUUGGUGGUUUUGAAUACUCUAGCAAUACUGGUUUUUGAGGAGCCAUGUGAAGCUCAGACUCUCACAAGUCAAGAAGGUCUUCAGACUCCUAAUGUGAGUAGUCAGCGCUUGUCUGUUGGGAUGACACCCAAGACCCUUAGGCUGCCGAAACCUGGCGAGAUGCUUCUCUGUCUAUGGAUCACCUCUUGGUGUUUAUAAGGAAAAUAACAUGGAAGCUAUAUAUGGUAUAAAGCAAAUGUUCUAAUUGAAACUAUUGCUAUAUCUUGUUCAUUUUUCUAGGGUUUUCUAGGGUUAUUCAAGGAUUUCCACAGUUUUUUAGGGUUUU